UACGUAGGGGGCAAGCGUUGUCCGGAUUUAUUGGGCGUAAAGAGCGUGUAGGCGGCCAAGCAGGUCCGCUGUGAAAACUCGAGGCUCAACCUCGAGACGUCGGUGGAAACCGUUUGGCUAGAGUCCGGAAGAGGAGAGUGGAAUUCCCGGUGUAGCGGUGAAAUGCGUAGAGAUCGGGAAGAACAUCGGUGGCGAAAGCGCUCUACUGGACCGCAACUGACACUCAGGGACGAAAGCUAGGGGAGCGAAUGGG
This 253-nucleotide ribosomal RNA is filed under the name uncultured bacterium. RNAcentral describes it as "partial 16S ribosomal RNA". It matches the Rfam family "Bacterial small subunit ribosomal RNA", at positions 524 to 776 of the family's 1533-position model. The record is from RNAcentral.